Long non-coding RNA from Hippopotamus amphibius kiboko, 3444 nucleotides. RefSeq lists it as uncharacterized. The transcript has 3 exons. The record is from RefSeq and is a predicted model, not a curated record. Lineage: Eukaryota; Metazoa; Chordata; Mammalia; Artiodactyla; Hippopotamidae.
CACCCUGCGACUGCUGAAGCAAAAGCUGCCUGGGCAGUCUGGCAGCUGCAAAUCUACUCUUCAUGAAAUGUUGGACUUGCAGCUACACAGAGCACUGUGAGGUUUUUAAUAAAAGAUUGACUUGGUAAAUUCUAUUUCCAUUCUGACUCCAAUAAAUAAUCCAGGUCCUUUAUGCAGAAUGAGAAGAGGAAGUACACUGAUUUGCAUUGACUUCCCAGGGGGGUUCUACAGGCAACGGGAUUUUUUUCACAUCUCUGAGGGUAGAACAAGAUCUCACUGAGAAUGGAAUGUCUAAGGAAUUACUGCCUGGUAAUCAUAUGACGGAUCUCUCAUGCACAUAAGGCGCUUGUUUUCUCCUGUGCAACAGCUGUAAACAAAGGACUACAUGCUCAAGAGAAGAAAACAAAAAUGGAAGAGUCAAAACAAACUAAACAAGCUUAAUUUGUUUGAACAUAUUUUGUGCCCUUCAUCAUCCCCCGUGGUUUCCUGUUGUGAAAUGAUGCAUUUUGUUUUCAAAAUUACAAACUUGAGAUUCAAAAGAAGGCAUUUCUUACUAUGAGGUCACAUUCCAAGCAUAUUAUCCUAUGUCUAUGUCUUAUGUGUGGCUUUUGCCAGAAGAAAGACCCACUUUGUGUGCUUUUCUAUUUUAGGGCCCUGUGAUGGCUGAGCCAUCUCGAGAUUCUUUUCAGAGAGUUUGCUACUUGCCGAAAUGCAGUGAAAUAUGCUGCCAAUCAGCCAGUCAUUCUGUCUAUAGAAUACAAGUUAAAUUUUGUGACUUAUAAUUUUCCCACGAGUUUGGCUUUUGAGCUUAAAAGUGUCGACUAUUUAGGAUCUCUUAAAGGAUCAUUGUUUUAUUUAGGACACAGAGGGUUUCUUGAAAUGGGAAGAAAUAGGCAAUAGCUGUUCAACUCAGGAAAGUCAUCUUCCAAAAGAAGAAGGAGCACAGAUUGAGAUCUCCUUUCAUAAUUAUAACAGCAGCCUUAGCUAAUAGUUAUGAGUACUUAUGAGGUGCCAAGGAUGAUUCUAAGAACUUUGCAUUUAUUAAUUAGUACUUGUAAAACAAAUCUGCAUUUUUCAUUAUCCGACCUAAAAAUAUGGAUUUCAAUUCCACUUUUUAUCAAGGAUUAAUAAGACUAAACUUUCUCCUUGAAACAAGUUCGAUGAAUGAGUAAUGACUACAUAGUCUUCUAUUUUUACAUUUCAUGUAGAACAUAAGUAAUUGUUGUCACUUAUGAGAUGUAGAGUUUUUUAAUUUUACAUAAAAUAAACAGUUAUGAAUCAUUUUCAAUUAGGAGUGUUGUAAAAACUCCCUUUAAAACUCAGAGAAUAGUGCAGAGAAAGACAGUUGCCCAUAAUUCUCUGGUUUUAAGCAUUGGCUUUGGUGUAGUAAAGCUGGGUUCAGGCCCCAGUUCUGUUACAUUGUGUGACCGUCAGCAAAUAAUUAGCCUCUUUAAGCCUCCGUUCUGGAUCUGCAAAAUGAAUAAAAUAGCACCAACUACUGAGCCUUCCUCUGAGCUGUAAGUCAGUUUUAAAGUAUGAGCAGAAGGUGGAACAUUCUAGAUGCUCAAUAAAGCUACUUUCCUUAUUGUUAUUGAAAUAUGAACACAGUGGCAUUUUCGGUUUUACCUUUAUCUAUGUCACGGGGUACAUAUAACUUGGAAUCCUAAUGUUUUCUUCGUGUUCUGUAUUUCCAAACCAAAGUUUUCAAAUUUCUGAAAGUGACUAUUUUACAUUUUGAACUACAAAGAUAAGACCACUCACCUCAGAUUCUCUUUUGGGCGCUGGAAUACUAGUUUGAAAGUUGUCUUCCUUGGAGCAUCUUGGUUCUUUCCAGGCAGUUGGGGGCAGGUGGUUGGACAUCAUCGAUGCAGGUUUUGGGUUUGGGUGUUCCCUGCAAGGGUUCUAUUUCUUUUAAUUUUACCUUUGGUGACAUGAGUUAGUAUCCCAAGUCCCACUAAGCAUUAUUGCAUUUCUUUGCAACAAAAUAGUCUAGUAGAAGAAGGACAGGCUGUAAAGUCAGCAAAACCUGGGUUGGCACUGUGGUUUGCUUGCUUCCAGGUCAAUGGACUUGGGGGAACCACCUGCUUUCUCAGUGUGUCAGUUUCCUCAUCUACAGAAUGAAGUUACUAAAACUCACAUUUUAGGGCUGGUGUAAGAAUGGCAGGAAGCAAUUAUAUAAAGUUCUUGGCAUUCCUUCACUGUACACCAAAAUCACAAUUAUUUACAAAGUCUUUUUGUUAUAGUUAUACAUGCAUAUAAAUGUAUACAUACAUAUAUAAACACACAUGUAUUUGUAAAUAUAAAACAGAAACAAGAGACAACAUUACUUUUCAAGGCACUGGAUGCAUGGCUUUUCAGGCUCAAAAACAUAAAGAGACACGACCUAUGAAAGAAUGACUUUGCUAAAUGAAAUUUUCUGUGGAUCAAACUGAACGAUAUUGAUUCAGUCAAGCAUGGCAGAGCCCCCUGAAAUAAUGAACCUUUCAAAGUUACACAUUUAUUCAAAACUUAUAUUUAAUUGGAAACAUAAAACAUCCAAAAAGCUCUAAGUAACUUGUCCCUCUCUAUUAGCUGUGUGUAUCUAUCGAUUAUCAGACUUUAUCAGUUCUGUUCCAAAGGCGCAUCUUGGUGGUCUCUGAAUAAGAGGUAUAUUUUCUUUAUAGUAUCAAUGUCUAGUUAAAGUUCAAUUGCUUGUUAGUUCCAUUUGUACAACAGAUGGUAAUUAUUUCAGAUAAUACAAUGCUGCGUAUGUAAGAUUAACAAGCUUGAAGUUCCAAGUUGAAAGUAAGAAAUUUGAUUCGUUUGUCAAAAGGCAUAAGCUCUUUGAGUUUAUAUGAGAGUGAGUAUCAUGAAAUACAGUGGUUUUCAAUGGGGAAUUGCCAUCCCUGGGACAUGUAGGAUAUGUGUGGGGUCAUUGCUGGUUGUCACAAUGAUUAGAGGGUACUGGUAGCAUUGAGUGAGCAGAAGCCAGAGACUUAGUUAUCACUACAUGGUGUGGUUCAGUCCUGCCCCAAAAGGAACUGCCUGUGUAUCACACGACUUCUGGUAGCCUUGCUGGAAAUUCACAUAGAUAGACAUCUGUUCAUCUGAACCUAGAGGCUAGCUCAGGUAACAUGUGAACAAAAGCCUAUUGUUGUUUUCUCUUAUGUUUUUUAACUCAGUUUUAAUCUACAUUGAACAUUCUAGGAAUACAACUGCCGCAUAAGUUGAGAUAUGAUGUCACUUUGCUUCUCUUGGAAAAUUACCAUAACUUGUUCACCAUUUUAGAAAAUCACACCCCUUUGACCGCAGUACUACCCUUCAUCAUUCAGUCAUGAGUACAGACCGUCUGUAUCAUUUACAUUUGAAGCUGUGGCAUUCAGGGCACUUCAGCUGUAAGCAUCUGACUUCUUUGUAACGUCUUCUAAUAUUGUUGUGUCCGAGUAUUUAUAUAAUAAAAUGCGU